GUUAAAAGCUUUGAAGUGCAGUAUUUCAAUGCAGCAGGCAGAACUGUACUAACCUCUUCCCUAGUGUUUCACCCAGCUAAAAUUUCCCAGUCAUCCCGAGGGUGUGUUAGAAAGAGAGAGCUCAUUUGCACUCAGAUAAAUUGUCCGGGAAAAGCUGGGGAUUUCAUACGUGACAACAAGGAAUUAAGAGUUCAGCACGGAGCAGACAUGGUAAUAAAGGUCGUUAUGAUCAUCCUCCUCGCAGCAAACUUCGGGCACAACUUCCCUGUAACUAACAAGAAACUGCCUUCCACAUAUGAUGACAAGGAGUGUCCUCCCGGAUUCUUGCCCUGUAUUUCAGAAAAAGACAGAGACGUUCCGGGUCCAGCCAGGGGGAGGAGUUCUCCAAGCCCAGCUUCUCCCAACACAACUACUGCAAAUGCCACUGAGGCGACCGCUCCAACCCCAUCUCGUGCCAGGAAUCAUGGCGUUACUGAAACGACAAGCAAGGUUCCUCCUGGGGAAAGCAUGGAGGGGACAUGGGACUCUAAAGAGGGCGAGCAGCAAGGAAGACACAUAUGUCCCCCUGGGAUAUGGGUUUGUUAAGCAGGCAAGAAAAUACUCACAACGCCAUCUCAAAUUUGCCUUUCUGGAAUUAAGUGCAUUAUUUUUGGCUUACUAAGGCAAACUGUGUGACUAUGAGACAGAGACAGAGAAAAUAAAUUGACGGAGAGUUCAAACAGCACUUUAUUUUGAGUGCAAGUAUAUCUGUUUAUUCCAAGUAGCUUUAGAAAGACGCGCGACAAGGCAGAAAGCUUGUAAGUAUGUCAUGUGACAACAACAGAGUUCACCGAGUGCCAAUUUUCUUCUCAGUUAACCUGUUAUGUUUUCUCUAUUUAUUUAUUUUGUUCGAGUGACUUUUGUUGGUAGUUAUAUUUAAGUUUAUGUUAUAAUUGAUGUUAGAAAGAAAAAAGUAGAAAAACCGAAACACACGCUAACAACUAGUAUUGAGCAUAAAAUUUAUUUGUUCAAACCUUGUAUUUUGAACUUUAGUAAGACACAUUGUUUUCUUUUCGAAAAUCAUGUUCAAAAAAGAUUGCUGGAUUAUAGAAAAAGUACAGUGAUGCAUGGUUUCGUUUCGAAAAACGAUAAGUAACAGAUCAUAUGAGGAUGGCUAAUGCCCGGGGGGGGGGACUCCCAAAUAAAAAGGACGGGGGUGCUAGUCGGAAAUUUUGAAAAGAACCUUUAAGAGGUACCAAAAUCCUACUUUGUGGGCGUAGAUUGAAAUGUUUUUCACCCCUAAAAGGUACUAAUUCUUUAACAACACAUCUCUUGUCACAUUUUUUUCGGCUCAAUACCCUAAAACGUAACGUAAAAGCUCCCGCUGUGGAACUUUUGAGGCUGAACACCCUGAGAGGUAGCAAAACCGCUGUUUUACCUCCUAUAAGGUACGACGAGCACCCCCGUCCAUUUUAAAUGGGAGUCCCCCCCGGGGGGACCGGCUAAUGACGUAGACGAUUGAAAUAAAAAAACUAACAACAACAUGCA
Molecule: long non-coding RNA, 1527 nt
Organism: Orbicella faveolata
Lineage: Eukaryota; Metazoa; Cnidaria; Anthozoa; Scleractinia; Merulinidae
Source: RefSeq, a predicted model, not a curated record